This 466-nucleotide ribosomal RNA is filed under the name uncultured bacterium. RNAcentral describes it as "partial 16S ribosomal RNA". It matches the Rfam family "Bacterial small subunit ribosomal RNA", at positions 28 to 507 of the family's 1533-position model. The record is from RNAcentral.
GAUGAACGCUGGCGGCGUGCUUAACACAUGCAAGUCGAACGAUGAAGCCCAGCUUGCUGGGUGGAUUAGUGGCGAACGGGUGAGUAACACGUGAGUAACCUGCCCUUAACUCUGGGAUAAGCCUGGGAAACUGGGUCUAAUACCGGAUAGGAGCGUCCACCGCAUGGUGGGUGUUGGAAAGAUUUAUCGGUUUUGGAUGGACUCGCGGCCUAUCAGCUUGUUGGUGAGGUAAUGGCUCACCAAGGCGACGACGGGUAGCCGGCCUGAGAGGGUGACCGGCCACACUGGGACUGAGACACGGCCCAGACUCCUACGGGAGGCAGCAGUGGGGAAUAUUGCACAAUGGGCGCAAGCCUGAUGCAGCGACGCCGCGUGAGGGAUGACGGCCUUCGGGUUGUAAACCUCUUUCAGUAGGGAAGAAGCGAAAGUGACGGUACCUGCAGAAGAAGCACCGGCUAACUAAGUG